RNAcentral lists this transfer RNA (74 nucleotides) under Acidithiobacillus thiooxidans. Its description in RNAcentral is "tRNA-Pro". Lineage: Bacteria; Pseudomonadati; Pseudomonadota; Acidithiobacillia; Acidithiobacillales; Acidithiobacillaceae. The record is from RNAcentral.
CGGUGUCAGGGUAGUUGUCGCCUCUCUGAAUGGGGUUCAGGUGGUCGGAGGUUCAAAUCCUCUCGCCCCGACCA